GUGCACGCUGGCGGUAGGCCUAACCCAUGCAAGUCGCACGGCAGCACAGUAAGAGCUUGCUCUUACGGGUGGCGAGUGGCGGACGGGUGAGGAAUACAUCGGAAUCUACUUUUUCGUGGGGGAUAACGUAGGGAAACUUACGCUAAUACCGCAUACGACCUACGGGUGAAAGCAGGGGAUCUUCGGACCUUGCGCGAUUGAAUGAGCCGAUGUCGGAUUAGCUAGUUGGCGGGGUAAAGGCCCACCAAGGCGACGAUCUGUAGCUGGUCUGAGAGGAUGAUCAGCCACACUGGAACUGAGACACGGUCCAGACUCCUACGGGAGGCAGCAGUGGGGAAUAUUGGACAAUGGGCGCAAGCCUGAUCCAGCCAUACCGCGUGGGUGAAGAAGGCCUUCGGGUUGUAAAGCCCUUUUGUUGGGAAAGAAAAGCAGCAGGUUAAUACCCCGCUGUUCUGACGGUACCCAAAGAAUAAGCACCGGCUAACUUCGUG
This 491-nucleotide ribosomal RNA is filed under the name uncultured bacterium. RNAcentral describes it as "partial 16S ribosomal RNA". It matches the Rfam family "Bacterial small subunit ribosomal RNA", at positions 29 to 507 of the family's 1533-position model. The record is from RNAcentral.